Molecule: long non-coding RNA, 377 nt
Organism: Dermochelys coriacea (leatherback sea turtle)
Lineage: Eukaryota; Metazoa; Chordata; Testudines; Dermochelyidae
Exons: 3
Source: RefSeq, a predicted model, not a curated record
AAGAACACUUCUGCUCUCAGGGCAGAAAGAGGUGCUCGUGGAAUUGCCGACGCUGUUUCUGGGAAGAGAACCACUUACCACUGGAGUUCCUUUGCUGAGGCCUCUGAUGUGCAGCUGUAUUGCUCAAGGAGCCAAUUGCAGGCCGAAGAAAAGCUCUAACAGCAGAACCAGCAUCUACCAAUUGAAAUACCAUAAGAAAAAAAUGUUCAGCUCAUAAAUCACUGUCUGGUGCAAACAGCCUGUGAAAGAGCAAGCACAAAUGCCACAGAACCUGCAUACACAGCCCAAAGUCUGGAUUGUGACUAUACGUUGACCAAGAAAUUUGGACCUUGACAAAAGAAUAAUUGAUUUACCCCGGCUUAAGCUCUUAAUAACAG